GACAGAGGGUGCAAACGUUGCUCGGAAUUACUGGGCGUAAAGCGCGCGUAGGCGGGCAGGUAAGUCGGCCGUGAAAUCCCUGGGCUCAACCUAGGAACUGCGGUCGAAACUACCUGUCUUGAGUGACGGAGAGGAUAGUGGAAUUCCCGGUGUAGAGGUGAAAUUCGUAGAUAUCGGGAGGAACACCAGUGGCGAAGGCGGCUAUCUGGACGUCCACUGACGCUGAGGCGCGAAAGCGUGGGGAGCAAACAGG
RNAcentral lists this ribosomal RNA (253 nucleotides) under uncultured Myxococcales bacterium. RNAcentral describes it as "partial 16S ribosomal RNA". It matches the Rfam family "Bacterial small subunit ribosomal RNA", at positions 524 to 776 of the family's 1533-position model. Lineage: Bacteria; Pseudomonadati; Myxococcota; Myxococcia; Myxococcales. The record is from RNAcentral.